Molecule: long non-coding RNA, 1751 nt
Filed under: Pan troglodytes (chimpanzee)
Lineage: Eukaryota; Metazoa; Chordata; Mammalia; Primates; Hominidae
Description: long non-coding RNA NONPTRT004488
Source: RNAcentral
GGGAGAUGUGUUUGGCAUGGGGACGCACUGUUACUGUUGCGCUCCUGGUUGGCUUUGUGUCUCCGCGGUGUUCGUAGAGUCUCGGUGUUUCUACCUCUUAGCACCCUUUCCUGCGACCCUUUGUCCUGUGGAAGCCCGGAGACAUCAGCGGCUGCAAUUUUGCUACUCGCUGCUCGGCAUGGAACGGUCAGGACAAAAAAUAAUAUCUAAAGAUAUUUUGGCACUAACGGCGCUAUCUGUAGCAAGAAAGUUGAGCAGUGUGAACUGUUGAGACUUCCAAGAAGACUUCAGAGAACCAAGACAGUGUAAAGGAAAACAGGAAAAAAGACUUGUUAGACAUUAUUAAGGGCACGAAAGUUGAAUUGAGCACAGUAAAUGUACAAACUACAAAGCCACCCAACAGAAGUCCACUUAAAAGCUACAACUGGCGGGCCUCAAAGAGCUACAGAGCAUGCUCCAAAGAAGAGAAAUGAGCCCCUGAGUCCUGAGUUGGUGGCAGCUGCAUCUGCUGCUCUGUUUUGACAAGCAAACAAGCCAGAACUGCUCAGGCAGCUCCGUAGCAUGAGGAAGAGUCAGGGGCACAGAGAGAUGGAGAGAGACCCAAUUAGGAAAAACAUAUUCAAGGGGAAGAGAUGUAAUAGUUUUGACGUGACGACAGUUACUAAAGAAGCACCUGAACAGACACAUCACCUUCACUUUGGGAUGUGGAAUUUGCUAAGUAAGCCACAGAAAAUGAACAUCCCUUCAGAAUGGGUUUGAAGAGCUGAUCCAGUGGAUUAAAGAGGGGAAACUGGGAGUUCCCAAUUAACAAUGAAGCAGGAGCUGACUAAGGCUUUGAAACAGAAACCAGAUGAUGCACAAUAUUAUUGUCAAAGAGCUUAUUGUCACAUUCUUCUUGGGAAUUACUGUGUUGCUGUUGCCAACACAAAGAAGUCUUGUGAACUCAAUCCAAAUAAUUCCACUGCUAUGCUGAGAAAAGGGGGCUGGCGGCAUGGAGUCUUGCUCUGUCACCCAUCCUUGAGUGCAAUGGCACCAUCUUAGUUCACUGCAGCCUUGAAUUCCAGGGCUCGAGCCAUCCUUCUGCCUCUGCCUCCUGAGUAGGUGGGACUACAGGCAUGUGCCACCAUACUGAGCUAAUUUGUUAAACACUUUUUUUGUAGAGACGAGGUCUUGCUACGUUUCCCAGACUGGUCUCUGAACUCCCGGCCUCAAGUGAUCCUACUGCCUUGGCCUCCCAAAGUACUGGCAUAAUAGACAUGAGCCACUGCACCUGGCUCCUAAGUUCUUUUCUUGAGUAAUAUCUUUCUUUUCUUUUUUUUUUUAUUUUUUGAGGUGGAGUCUCACCCUGUUGCCCAGGCUGGAGUGCAAUGGCAUGAUCUCGGCUCACUGCAACUUCUACCUCCCGGGUUCAAGUGAUUCUCCUGCCUCAGCCUGCUGAAUAGCUAGGAUUACAGGCGUGUACUUCCACGCCUGGCUAAUUUUUUGUAUCUUUAGUAGAGAUGGGGUUUCACCAUGUUGGCCAGGCUUGUCUCAAACUCUUGACCUCGUGAUCCACCCGCCUUGGCCUCCCAAAGUGUUGGGAUUACAGGCGUGAGCCACCACGCCUGGCCAAGUAAUAUCUUAGUAUCAUGCCAUUGACAUUUAUCCUCUAAUUAUUUCAGAGGUGGCCUUCAGAAGGAGGCCUCUUUGGUAAAAUUGCUAUUGAGGAUAUUUCACUGAAAAACAAAUUUAUCUUUAAAUUUAAAUCCAGG